AAAGUCGUAACAAGGUUUCCGUAGGUGAACCUGCGGAAGGAUCAUUAAAGAGUACCGGAGCUCUCGGGUUCCUACUCCCACCCUAUGUUGACUUUAAAUGUUGCUUUGGCGGACCGGCAACUCUGCCGCCGGCCUAGGCUGGAUAGCGUCCGCCAGAGGAUUUUUAAAUUCCUUUGAAUGUGAAUUCUGAGUCUUUGAAAAUUGAAUCAAAACUUUCAACAACGGAUCUCUUGGUUCUG
RNAcentral lists this unclassified non-coding RNA (239 nucleotides) under Ascomycota sp. RNAcentral describes it as "partial contains small subunit ribosomal RNA, internal transcribed spacer 1, and 5.8S ribosomal RNA". The stretch from base 1 to 47 matches the Rfam family "Eukaryotic small subunit ribosomal RNA", at positions 1785 to 1831 of the family's 1831-position model. The record is from RNAcentral. Lineage: Eukaryota; Fungi; Ascomycota.